RNAcentral lists this ribosomal RNA (497 nucleotides) under uncultured bacterium. Its description in RNAcentral is "partial 16S ribosomal RNA". It matches the Rfam family "Bacterial small subunit ribosomal RNA", at positions 29 to 507 of the family's 1533-position model. The record is from RNAcentral.
ACGAACGCUGGCGGCGUGCCUAAUCCAUGCAAGUCGAGCGGACGAAUCGAAAGCUUGCUUUUGAUUCGUUAGCGGCGGACGGGUGAGUAACACGUGGGCAACCUGCCCUGUAGACGGGGAUAACACCGAGAAAUCGGUGCUAAUACCGGAUAACACGAAAUGUCGCAUGACGUUUCGUUGAAAGACGGCGCAAGCUGUCGCUACAGGAUGGGCCCGCGGCGCAUUAGCUAGUUGGUGAGGUAACGGCUCACCAAGGCGACGAUGCGUAGCCGACCUGAGAGGGUGAUCGGCCACACUGGGACUGAGACACGGCCCAGACUCCUACGGGAGGCAGCAGUAGGGAAUCUUCCGCAAUGGACGAAAGUCUGACGGAGCAACGCCGCGUGAGCGAAGAAGGCCUUCGGGUCGUAAAGCUCUGUUGUUAGGGAAGAACAAGUAACGCAGUAACUGGCGUUACCGUGACGGUACCUAACGAGAAAGCCACGGCUAACUACGUG